UAGCCUACGGGACGCAGCAGUGGGGAAUAUUGCACAAUGGGGGAAACCCUGAUGCAGCGACGCCGCGUGGGCGAGGAAGUACCUCGGUAUGUAAAGCCCUAUCAGCAGGGAAGAAACAGGACAGUACCUGACUAAGAAGCCCCGGCUAACUACGUGCCAGCAGCCGCGGUAAUACGUAGGGGGCAAGCGUUAUCCGGAUUCACUGGGCGUAAAGGGAGCGUAGACGGCAGCGCAAGUCUGGAGUGAAAUGCCGGGGCCCAACCCCGGAACUGCUCUGGAAACUGUGAAGCUGGAGUGCAGGAGAG
Molecule: ribosomal RNA, 305 nt
Filed under: uncultured bacterium
Lineage: Bacteria
Description: bacterial SSU rRNA
Rfam family: Bacterial small subunit ribosomal RNA
Source: RNAcentral